Molecule: long non-coding RNA, 618 nt
Organism: Lucilia cuprina (Australian sheep blowfly)
Lineage: Eukaryota; Metazoa; Arthropoda; Insecta; Diptera; Calliphoridae
Exons: 4
Source: RefSeq, a predicted model, not a curated record
AGGAUUUUAUUGUCAAACUAUGGCAGAAAUUAUUAAAUUUUAUUGUGGCCAAAUGAAGUUGUGUGUAAAAGUUCUUAAAGGUUGUUGCAGUUUCCUUAAGGGUUAAAUAUGAAGGAGUAAUGAUAAAUAACUGAUGGUCUCUUCAUCUUCUAUUUACGCAUGUCUUUUUUAUGGUUCUUUAACAUUAAAAAUUCAUUGAAGAAUUUGUCUUGAUCGUUUUUUACGCGAGCUACUCUUCAACAUUAGAGUACUUAAAUUAAGAAUGCUGCUACAGUGUAACACAUAAGUUAUCGUACAAGCCUAUAACGUCAGAUAAAUUCAUCACAAGAGCUCAAUAAUCUCGAUAUCAACAGUCUCAAACAAACUAAAUUAGCUUCUUGCCGGUGCCAUUUAUAGCAAGUCGUCAUCUUCUAGAUAUGUUCAGGACAUUCAAGUGACACCUUCCGGACUUCUGCAAUACUUUUGCUGGUGCAUCUAGUGGAGACACACACCUCUACAAUGAUCAAUUUUACAUUUUAGUGCUGUCAACCAUAUUUUAAUCGCUAAAAAAAAUUACAACUUAAUACUAGGGUUCUAUAUAUCGACUUUCGAAUAAUCGAACAAUCGACUUUUUGUCGA